GGAGCAAUGAGAAAGGACUGAUUCAUGUCAAGGAGAGGGCAUUUUUGAAGGAGCAAUGUACGUAAGCAAUGGCAAAGAGUUCUCCUUUCUUCUAUGUUGACUUUAUCUGCAGGAAAGAAGAGGACAAAAGGACUUAGAAAAGCUGAGGAU
Mustela erminea (ermine) is the source of this 150-nucleotide long non-coding RNA. RefSeq lists it as uncharacterized. Lineage: Eukaryota; Metazoa; Chordata; Mammalia; Carnivora; Mustelidae. The transcript is spliced from 3 exons. The record is from RefSeq and is a predicted model, not a curated record.